Molecule: long non-coding RNA, 7586 nt
Organism: Cavia porcellus (domestic guinea pig)
Lineage: Eukaryota; Metazoa; Chordata; Mammalia; Rodentia; Caviidae
Exons: 2
Source: RefSeq, a predicted model, not a curated record
CAUGUGUACGGAAGGCGCGGGGUUGCACAGCACCACCAUAUUGUACGGAGACCUCCGAGCGCAGCAAUUUGGCCUGCCAAAUGCAGGAGAACGUACACAAGGAUCUUUGGGGAAUCUGUGUAGAAGCAAACACAAAACAGGAGAGGAAAAGAGCAGAGGCGAGACAAAAAGAAAUAAGCUCUUUUUUUGAGACAAGGUUUUGAUAUAUAGUUUAGGCUGUCCUGCAACACUGGACAAUCAUCCUGCCUCAGCCUCCCGAGUACUGACAGUACAGAUGUGCGCCACCAUGCUCGGUUUAACUCCUUUGAUUUUCUUGAGCUUUACGACUAGCUGGUUCUGGGUUUGCACCCUAUGGGGAUACCCCUUAGGUGAUCUUCCAGGACCUUCCCUCUGCUCUUUUGACAUUUAUUCAAAGCACUGAUUUUACAAUCAAACGAGGGUGUUGGUCUAGAAUCUGCUGAUUACCUGCUGUGUUACUUUUGCACAAGGAAGAUGGCAGCGAGAACCCGGGAAUGUGAUGUCCUGAGGUGAGACGGCUGAGCACAGCGUCCUAAGGACCUGCAGUUCUGCGGCCGAGGAGGCUCCCUGAGCCUAACCGCUCGGGGGGAUGCUCUGGACACUCCUCCUCUGGGUGAGGACUGAGCCGACUGCGCGCGGAGCCCUGGCCAGCCUGCUUUCCCGAGCGCCCGGGACAGCGAGGUCCCGCCGCACCCCUAGAGCCGAGACCCACGCGCGUUCCUGCGCAGAGACCGAGGAGAGCACCCCGGAGGCGCGACCUGCCUGCCUCGGCCUCGUGCCCGCGCCGGCCCGGACUCUGCUCUUUGUCGUUUGCGAUCCUUUUCGUGUGGGCGCCAGGUCGUGGGCUGGAGGCUGGUGGAGCCGCACAGGCGACUUUAGGUGCACCAAUGAAUGAAUGCGUCAAUGCAUGAAUACGCGAAUGGAGGAAUGCACGAGUGAAUGCUUGCGUGAAUGAACGUGUGCCUCACCUGGGAUCCCUCCCACGGUGCUGGAGCCUUGGCUGUGGCUGGUCCUGCUGAAGGCCCUGGGCACCCGGCUGCGCCCGCCCGCGUCCUGCCCGCUCCUCCCCCGGAUCUCUUCACCCAGAGCUCUAGGGUCACGUGAUGCCGAGGCCCUAUUGACCGGAGGUAUCAGGGCCUCACUGUAUGAGGACCUGACAAGAUCGCUGCUGCAGGUACAGGGGAAGGGUCUUGGAUUUGAUUGACGCUGCGUGGCGAGAAGGCAGCUGCCUUACGAGGAUGCUGCAGUACCUCGGAAUGCACUUUCCGAACCCGAACCAGAUGGUGGUGGCGCCACAGGAUCUGAGAAAUGCAGUGGGCGUGGGAGACUCACUGCCUAGGGGAAACACUCCUGGUUUCUUUCUCGUGGAUGAAUCCUUCAAAAAUAUGUCAAUACAAAAUGUUUAAAAUAUUCAUUUUUGCUUCAAAGUCUAUAAGUAUCUUCUAAUAUUUUAAAGCCUUACCUUGGAUUCAUUUGGAGUUUUAUCUUUCUCUGUAGACAGUUGGUAAUACAAUUUUCCUUCUAGAUGUAAGACCACUUUUCAACUUUAUUUAAUAUCGUUACACUGUCACCUCUUCCCACGCCUAUCUGAUAUUCCCUGUGUCUUUUAUCAAAGUUCUGAACCCUCGUUCCAUGGGUCUGCGGACCUCAGAGUUCCCCGCACCGUGGAUCUGGAUCUGGCUUCCUAGUCUCUUUCACUGGUCACUUUGACUUCUUUCUCAGCUCCACAUUUUCUUAACUCAUUAGUAAGCUCUCCUCUCAGGAAGGGCACAUAGAUAUCGCCUUUCCUUUAUCUGUAGAAGGGAAGUUCUUGACUGUUUCUUUUCCAGAUACAUUUUAAAAUCAGCUGGUCUGAAUUUUGUCUGUAUUUGCAUUAAAUAUUUGCAUCAGUUAGAGAAGAACUGACAUUUUAGCAGAAGUUUCGUAACUUAUCUCUCCAUCUGUGUAAGUUCUCCUUUGGUGUCCUUAAUAAAGUUCUAUGAUUUUCUGCAGGGAUCUGCAUGGCUUUUGUUAGAUUCAUUUCUAACUACUUGGCAUUUUCUGAUUCUAUUUUAAAAGGUGUCAUUUAUUUAUUUAUUAUUUGGGGGGUUUUGAGACAGGAUCUCGAUCUACAGUCUGGGUUGGCCUUGAACUCACUGUGGAGACCAGGUCAGCCUGGAACCCGUGGCACUCCUCCUGUCUCAGUCUCCUGAGUGCUGGGAUCACAAGCGGGUACCAACACACCCAACUAAAUGGUGUAAUUUUACAAUGACUUCCAGUUGAUACACAGAGAUGUUAUUGAUUGUAGAUUAAUUUUACUUUUAGCCAUCUUUAUAAAUUAUGAUAAAUUAUUCUGUUAUUUCCAGUACUUUGUAUAAAGAUUGCUAUUGGAUUUUUUUUUAGGACUAAUUUUUACAAAAAUUUUUGAGACAAAGUAUCACUAGGUAUUUCAACCUGGCCUUGAACUCACUAUGUAGCCCAGGCAGGCCUCAAAUUCACAGCGAUCCUCCUGUCUCAGCUUCCCAAAAGCUGGGGUUGUAGGAGUGUGCCACCACUCCCAGCCUCAGUUUUUUAGCAGGUGACACACACCUGUAAUCCCAGCACUGGGGAAGCUGAGGCAGUAGGGUUACCAGAAAUUGGAGGCCAGUUUGGACUAUGUAGUGAGUUCAAAGCCAGCUUGAACAACAUAGCAAGACCGUGUCUAAAAAACCAGAAAAGAAAAAAAAGUUUCUAAUUCUUUAGAAGAAGAAUUUCAAAAUAUCUGCCUAAACAGUGAGCAGUAUACAGCUUGUUCAGUUUUCACAAACUGGACACGCCUGGCCCAAGCUGGUAUCAGCGGCCCUCCAGCGGCCCCCAGGCCCUGCUCCCGCCCCUCCCCCAGUAUGACCACAGCCCUAUUUCUAUGCUCCUGUGUAGUAUUCUCCUUUUUCUGUGCUGUCUGAAUCGAACACUUCUUUGCAUUUGGGUUCUUUCAUUCAGUCUCAGGGCUGUCAGACUCAUCGUGGUUCAUUCUUACUGCUGUGCACUCCCACGAAGCCCCUGUUCUUCAGAGGGCUCUGGUGGCGUCCCAGUCUGGGCUCUUCUGAAAGCGCCCCAUGAACAUUAGUACGCUCGGUUUGGGGUGAAGAUAACGGUACACAUUCCAGUAGAGUAUGUGCCUAAAAGUGGGGCCAAAGGACCAAAAGGUGUGUGUGUGACAGUGACUUUGCAGAGCCAUCACAUUAAGGUGACAAUCGGUUGACCCAGCUGAAGCCAAGUUAGGGGGGAGGGGGCGAAGGAAGGGGCAGGGUACCAAGCCGUCCAUGCAGAAUUCCUGCUGCCGGCUGGUUUUCCUUUGAGUUCUUCCUUCUUUCCUUCCUUCCUCCUUUCUUCUCUCUGUCUGUCUCUCCCCUUCUCUUUCAUCAUCUAAUGAGAAGUAAAAACAAAACCUUUAGAGGGAAUUUAUCUUAUUUCCUUAGCAGUCCUCUGAAACCUUUUGUCUUUUCAUUUUGAUUCACUUGGUUUCACUCUGAUAUACUUAAGGACGUUUCUCUUUUUAUCUUUUUUUUUAUUCACGGAGACUUCGAAAUCCUUAUCUUAAAGCCUCUUAUGGAUUUUAGAAAGUUAUCUGUUCACGUACUGCCUUUCUUGCUCCGAGGUUUCAGUUGAACACUGUAUUCAUAUCACUGUAUCUCUAGAUCUUCUGAUUAUCAAUUGCUAUAGAACAAACUAUUGAAAAUUGCAUGUCAUCUGCGUUAGUUCAUCUUGCCACGGUUAAUCUUGUCUACUAAACUGGCUUGGGAAUGGUCUAGGUAAUUAAUAAUAGCACACUUCUGGGUGUGUCUGGAGGUCAUGGAAGUGUGGCCUUGGGGUCUGUGUCGGCCCCUGCCCUGUUUUCUGGCUGCCAUGAACUAAGCAGCUUUGUUUACCGCAGCCUUCCGCCAUGGUGUUCCUGCCUUGGACCCAGAUGAGCAUGGACUGAAUCCUCUGGAACAGUGAGCCGAAGCUGAGCAGUACAGUACGAUCCUGGGUCCCACGGUCACGAAUUUCUAUAGUAGUGGGAAUGGUUUGUUUUUAUUGAAUAUGCAAAGAUCCUCAGUGGGGAUGGGAGACAUGAACCACUGGGGCAUGUUAGGGUUCUCCAGAGACACAGAACCAAAAAGUUAUUUACCUUUUUAUUGAUUGACUCAGUAUAGGAGUUGGUUGUGAUUGGGGAGGCGACAGGUCCUAGGACUGCUGUGAGUGGGAGAGUCAGGAAAGCUAUCGGAAUAAUUCUACUCAACAGCGCUGGGCAACUUAGUGACUCAGUGAGACACAAAAAAAUGAGCUUGGGGUGGGGGAGGGGAGAGGUCCCAGGAGAAGCAGUACAUUCGCCCACAGUGUUUCCUUCCAUGUCUUCCGUUCAUUGGCUGGUGCUCACCUGCACUGGUGAAGUGGAUCUUUUUAAUUUGGUAAAUUGAUUUCAUUAACCUCUUCUGGAAUCAUCUUCAGAGACACACCCAGAAAUGGCAUUUUUCCAGCUAUCUGGGCAUUGUUUAGUCUGUCAAAGAACACAAAAACUAGCCAGUACAGAGGAUCACUUGAACUCUAUGGGGGGGGGGCGGCAGCUGGGGAUUGAACCCAGGGCCUUUCCACUGAGCUGCAAUUCAGCCCAUUUUAUUGUAUUUUACUUUAUUUUAUUUCUUAAACUGGUGAUCCUCCUGCCUCAGCCUCCCAGAGUACUGGGAUGACAUGUGUGUGACACCAGGCCUGGCUCAUUUGAGUACUUUUAAACGUAACGCCUGAGUUCAGUGCCUUAGCUCUCUGUAACUGUCAACCAGCACCUCUGCACCUACAUUUCCACCAGGCUUAGCGUUCUCAAGAGUGUCAGUGUGAGGCCACGCUGGGUCUGGGACAAGAACAUCAAGAAAUCAGUUUGAUCUUCCUGCAAGUCCUGCAAACCAGGCGGUGCCCAGGAAGAGAGAAGCCAGAUUGCCUUUCCAGCGCAGCUGACCUCCCCCCGCCCCCAGCAACCAGCUGGUUUGGAGGACAGGUUGUUGAUAGCAACUAAGGUACCAAAACAGCUAAAUGCUUGUACUGUUUGACUGACUUUGCGUGACCAAGGCCAGCGGUCAGAGCAUCUAUUAGGAGGGUGACUAUGCAAGAUGGCAAGUAUGGGGGGGUUCCUUCUAUCUUGUUUUUGAAACCAGUAUUAUUCUCAGUGUUUUGCUUUGUUCCGAUUUAUUGUUUUGUUUUAUUCAACGCUCAGUUUUGGUUGGUUUUAUUCCGUUUUGUUUUACUUGAUUUUACUGUGUCUGAGGGAACGGACAGCUACUGUGAAGAGAACAAGAUACACUACGGUAGCCAGUGCUGAUCUCCUGUUAUCCUGCUUCAAAGUUCUGUACCAAUUUUGCUGCUUUAAAAAAAUAAAAAUAAAGAGUGUCAGUUUGGCUCUGGAAGGGGGUUUUGGAGAAGGAGCCUCUAGUGGGCAGCAUCAAGGGGCCCCCAGAAGCUGGCCAGAAGUCACACUGCACACGCCUAUCCAGCCUUCAAGUCUGUCGGGAGCCCUCCCAGAAUCAGAAGUCCUCCCGACGCGGUAUUAUUCUGGAUACAGUCUCAGUGAUUCUGGCAUUGUAGUGUAUUCUUACUGUUUGCAGUACGGGGUAUCAAACCUGGGGUAUGCUAAGUAAGUGCUGCACUGCUGAGCCACAGCCCAGACGCUUUAGCUUUUAUUUGUUUGUUUUGAGACAGGCCUUGAAACUGGUCUUGAACUUGUGAUCGCCCUGCCUCAGCCUCCAGAGGAGGCGGGAUUCCAGGCUUACACGGCCGAGCCAGUCCAGCCGGGGUUUUCCCCGAAAUGUCAUCCACACAUCUGACCCCUGCUGUCCUCAGGCCUCCUGUGCAGCGCAUGCGCGCUGGCUGACACCUCAAAGACAACAUCAAGCGGUGGCGCAGGAGUCGGGCCCUUCAGCCCCGUUCCUGACCUCAGCAGGAGCGCGUCUGUCGUUUCUCCAUGAAGUCACCUUUUGAGAAGAUAGCCAAGGUCGCCUUUGCUUCUUCUUAAUUUUCUUUACACGUUUGUUGUGCGCAUCGAGCCCGUAAAUUUCUUUCGCUUUUCUGCUAAGACGCCAAUUUGGGGUUUCUCUGCGGGCUAUCCUGAGGGUUGGGUGCUCCGCUAAGCUGCGCAGAGGUGCAGAUCCGUCCGGCGCGGUCUUGCUUUCUUUCCGCCUUUGCUCAAGGUCACCUGUGAAGUCUUCGGGUUGUGCACUACUGCCCCCCUCUGGCAGCCCUGGUCCCCCUUCCUGUUCCUAUUUUCCCACACUGAGCACUUUCCAAGGGCCUUUGCAGUCAGCUGUAUCCUCUGUCACUUUUUUAUCUUUUAUUUUAUGAUAGAAUCUCAUGGAGUCCCUAAGUUGCCCUUGUUGGGGUUGAACUUGCAAUCUUCCUGCCUCGGCCUCCCAGGGUACUGGGAUUACACUGCACUCAGCUCAUGUCUGUUAUUUUUAAAGGUUAUGGUUACAGUCAUUGAGAUAUAAUAAAGAGAUGGAAAGAUUUUUAUCAUUGAACUUUUUGUUUGGAGACUAGGUCUCACAGUGUAGCCAAGGCUGGUCUUGAACCUGCAGUGAUCCUCCUGCCUCGGCCUCCCAGAGUGCUAGGAUUACACUGUGUGCAGCUGUGUAUAUUAUUUCUACAUCCCAUGGUCUGUCACUGUUGAACCUCUACACUUUGUGUCAAGCAUGGGCCCCAUGACUGAGCCCCAGCCUAUAGUGCACCAUGAAUUGAUGCAUUUUAUUUAUCCUAUGAAUGUUCAUGAGUGGCUUGAUUAUAUUUACAUACACUCAACUUUAUGCGUUAAAAGUUCUGAUGCAAAGUGACUAUUUAAUACACGUCAUGGUUUUGGUGAGCUCGUUAGAACCCGUUUCCAUUUGAAAAUAUAUUGGGAAUCUGGAGAAAGCUUCCAGGCGCACCCCCCACUCCCCAGCAACUCUUGGCCCUUCCAUAAAGGUAUUGUCAAGACUUUCAUUGCUUUGUUUCCUUGAGCUGGGAUCUGCAUACAAUGUUGGCUACAAGAGUUAAAAAUAUCAGAGCAUUUUUUAACGUUGUAAAUUUUAGAAAGAGGAACUUGAGAACAAAUUAGAUUUUUCUAAUAGAAAUGUUCUGAGCUGAAAGCCCUAAAGGGGAGUAAGGAAACCAAUUAACUUUAAUUUAAAUAAUCAUGUCUUAAGUAGCAAAUGAACCAAGUUCUAUUGUUAGAGAACAACUGUACCAAAUCCCCCAGAGAUUUGUCCCAAAAAGGCGGCGGGCUCGUAUCUCCCUAAUGGAACCCGGUUCUGCUGGCUGCAGUCACCCUUGUUUGUGGCUGCCCUGGACGUCAUUACGGAGAGCACAGGAGCAGAAUGAUGCAGAGAUCAAGGAGAAAUAAUUGCAGAAACUCCCAUCGAUGUUCCUAUUGUUGGUAACUUGUUCUUUUAGGAGCAAGAAACAAAACGGCCCCUACAUUUAAUCCUGGGAAAAUAUAGUUUAAGAAAAUGCAAGGCAAGCUUAUUGUCUUAUUCCAAAACCUUUACAUGGAGUGUAUGAUUUUCUGUUUCUACUUGCUAUCUAAAAAUAAAAUACUUAGGGUGACUGAG